Molecule: ribosomal RNA, 579 nt
Filed under: uncultured bacterium
Lineage: Bacteria
Description: partial 16S ribosomal RNA
Rfam family: Bacterial small subunit ribosomal RNA
Source: RNAcentral
UGGGGAAUUUUGGACAAUGGGCGAAAGCCUGAUCCAGCAAUGCCGCGUGUGUGAAGAAGGCCUUCGGGUUGUAAAGCACUUUUGUCCGGAAAGAAAUCCUUGGCUCUAAUACAGUCGGGGGAUGACGGUACCGGAAGAAUAAGCACCGGCUAACUACGUGCCAGCAGCCGCGGUAAUACGUAGGGUGCAAGCGUUAAUCGGAAUUACUGGGCGUAAAGCGUGCGCAGGCGGUUUGCUAAGACCGAUGUGAAAUCCCCGGGCUCAACCUGGGAACUGCAUUGGUGACUGGCAGGCUAGAGUAUGGCAGAGGGGGGUAGAAUUCCACGUGUAGCAGUGAAAUGCGUAGAGAUGUGGAGGAAUACCGAUGACGAAGGCAGCCCCCUGGGCCAAUACUGACGCUCAUGCACGAAAGCGUGGGGAGCAAACAGGAUUAGAUACCCUGGUAGUCCACGCCCUAAACGAUGUCAACUAGUUGUUGGGGAUUCAUUUCCUUAGUAACGUAGCUAACGCGUGAAGUUGACCGCCUGGGGAGUACGGUCGCAAGAUUAAAACUUAAAUGAAUUGACGGGGUCAUAGCUG